This 492-nucleotide ribosomal RNA is filed under the name uncultured bacterium. Its description in RNAcentral is "partial 16S ribosomal RNA". It matches the Rfam family "Bacterial small subunit ribosomal RNA", at positions 29 to 507 of the family's 1533-position model. The record is from RNAcentral.
AGUGAACGCUGGCGGUAGGCCUAACACAUGCAAGUCGAACGGCAGCACAGUAAGAGCUUGCUCUUACGGGUGGCGAGUGGCGGACGGGUGAGGAAUACAGCGGAAUCUACUUUUUCGUGGGGGAUAACGUAGGGAAACUUACGCUAAUACCGCAUACGACCUACGGGUGAAAGCAGGGGAUCUUCGGACCUUGCGCGAUUGAAUGAGCCGAUGUCGGAUUAGCUAGUUGGCGGGGUAAAGGCCCACCAAGGCGACGAUCCGUAGCUGGUCUGAGAGGAUGAUCAGCCACACUGGAACUGAGACACAGUCAAGACACCUACAGGAGGAAGCAGUGGGAAAUAUUGGACAAUGGGAGCAAGACUGAGAAAGCCAUACCGCGUAAGUGAAGAAGGCCUCCGAGUUGUAAAGACCUUUUGUUGGGAAAGAAAAGCAGUAUGUUAAUACCCCGCUGUUCUGACGGUAAACGAAGAAUAAGCACCGGCUAACUUCGUG